Long non-coding RNA from Helianthus annuus (common sunflower), 829 nucleotides. RefSeq lists it as uncharacterized. NCBI's taxonomy places the organism in Eukaryota, Viridiplantae, Streptophyta, Magnoliopsida, Asterales, Asteraceae. The record is from RefSeq and is a predicted model, not a curated record. The transcript is spliced from 2 exons.
GAAACCCCAUCUUUUUUAAGAAACCUUGGAAACCCUAGAUUCACCCUUGAUUUGGUUUCACUUUAAUAGAUCAAUGGCUCUCCUUUUUUGGUGUAUAUAUUAGAUUUAAAUUAAUGCAUAAAGGGCAUUUUGGGUAGUAAAAAAGACUUUUUGAGCAUUGGAAAUCACAAACUCAUCUGCCAUGUUGUAAUGUCAAAUCAAAUAAGAGAUUUCAAAAUCAUAUCCCUUUUUCUCUCUCCCACUCUCUACUCACAAUUAUCACAUCUCUUUCCUCCCUCACCCCACAAACGUGAAGAAGAACAAGAAGAAGAUGGUCUCAUUUCAGAAUUAAAACAUCUACCUUCAAGAUUUCAAGAAAUACUAAUCCAGAUUCAGUUGCAGAAGACGAUGGUGGUUGCAGAUCAAAGCAUGAUUCAGUUGCAGAAGACGAUGGUGGUUGCAGAUCUGGUGGUUGGUGGAAGGUGGUGACUGGUUCAUUCUGGGGUGUUGGUGGUUGAUAGCGGCGACAGUGGGUGGUUGUAGAAGGUGGUGGAGGGUGGGUGGUUGGUGGCGCCGGAGUUCGGAACGUCGUCGGAGUCAAGAUCUAGUAAUGAAACAGAUCCAUAAAGAUAUUCAAUUGACAAGCUGGAUGGAUGUAGGCGACGUUAAUGCGGGGACAUUGAAUAAGUCAACUCUUUUGGGAAAGAAGUUUUCGUUCGUUUAUAACAUGUGUUAGUGGUUCAUGCUGUAACAGAUCCAUAAAGAAGUUUUCAUGCUGUAACAAGUUUUCGUUCGUUUCUAACAUGCUUUGCACAUUUUGGAAUGUAUAACAUGUGUUAAGCCUCUGUUA